Molecule: non-coding RNA, 279 nt
Organism: Chelonoidis abingdonii (Abingdon island giant tortoise)
Lineage: Eukaryota; Metazoa; Chordata; Testudines; Testudinidae
Source: RefSeq, a predicted model, not a curated record
UUCCUUCCGUUUCCCGGGGUCGGGCGGAAGCAGGGACUGAUACAAUGGAUAUAGAGCUGCUUAAAUAGAUGCAGAUGUGAAUGACAGAUAUCACUCAAACUGCGCACUUCUACGAGCACAAAGAAAAGAUACAGGGUGGCUGGGUUCCUAACCCCUGCAGUCUGAGAGCCGCAGUCUAAGAGCCCCAAUUUGAGCACUCUGGGCUCAAAUGAAAAGUGAAGUGAAGAUGGUCCCUCAACCUCUCCAGAGCGCUCAGGUGGCAGAGGCUCUUUAGCAACU